GAAAGAUGAAAAGAACUUUGAAAAGAGAGUUAAACAGUACGUGAAAUUGUUGAAAGGGAAACGAUUGAAGCCAGUCGUACUGACGGGAAAUCAACUUCUCGAGUGCUUGUCGUGAAUGACGUUGAGCUUCACGGCCUUCGUUGCUUGCGUUAUGGUGCUUUUGAGGUGUACUUUUCCGUAUGGUAAGUCAACAUCGAUUUUUUUCGUCAUAAAAUGAUCGGAGGAAUGUGGCUCUGAUCUUGUAUCGGAGUGUUAUA
This 257-nucleotide ribosomal RNA is filed under the name uncultured Glomeraceae. RNAcentral describes it as "partial large subunit ribosomal RNA". It matches the Rfam family "Eukaryotic large subunit ribosomal RNA", at positions 359 to 614 of the family's 3401-position model. The record is from RNAcentral. Lineage: Eukaryota; Fungi; Glomeromycota; Glomeromycetes; Glomerales; Glomeraceae.